RNAcentral lists this long non-coding RNA (325 nucleotides) under Macaca mulatta (Rhesus monkey). Its description in RNAcentral is "lncRNA (ENSMMUG00000063585.1)". Lineage: Eukaryota; Metazoa; Chordata; Mammalia; Primates; Cercopithecidae. The record is from RNAcentral.
UAAAUUAGUUGGCUCAGUAGACCCUGGUAAACAGUGGCUUUUGUGUUUCAGGCUGCAGUGUCUGGGUCAGUGUAAGCUUCAGAUAGACUUACGGAAGAGCUCAGGGACAUAUAUAGAUCACAGAGUUAUAAGACAGUGAUCUUCAGAUCUUAAAAGAAAAACAAGGGAUAGGAGACAUUUUGCUUAUCUUUUAAGUGCUCCUGACAGCAUCUCAGAGGACGAUGCCCUCUGGCUUACUCUCUGGGAAAUGCUGCUCUGUUGGAAAUCUGGAGUUCUGAGUGAUUCCCAUGUGUUUUCUGCUGCACAGCAGGACAUGCUGAAGUGA